UGCCAGACUCCUACGGGAGGCAGCAGUGGGGGAUAUUGCACAAUGGGGGGAACCCUGAUGCAGCGACGCCGCGUGGGUGAAGAAGCGCCUCGGCGCGUAAAGCCCUAUCAGCAGGGAAGAAAAUGACGGUACCUGAAGAAGAAGCCCCGGCUAACUACGUGCCAGCAGCCGCGGUAAUACGUAGGGGGCGAGCGUUAUCCGGAUUUACUGGGUGUAAAGGGAGCGUAGACGGCGUCGCAAGUCUGAAGUGAAAGCCCGUGGCUCAACCGCGGAACCGCUUUGGAAACUGCGAGGCUGGAGUGCUGGAGAGGUAAGCGGAAUUCCUGGUGUAGUGGUGAAAUGCGUAGAUAUCAGGAGGAACACCGGUGGCGAAGGCGGCUUACUGGACAGUGACUGACGUUGAGGCUCGAAAGCGUGGGGAGCGAACAGGAUUAGAUACCCGUGUAU
RNAcentral lists this ribosomal RNA (447 nucleotides) under uncultured bacterium. RNAcentral describes it as "bacterial SSU rRNA". It matches the Rfam family "Bacterial small subunit ribosomal RNA", at positions 329 to 793 of the family's 1533-position model. The record is from RNAcentral.